This 1219-nucleotide long non-coding RNA is filed under the name Piliocolobus tephrosceles (Ugandan red Colobus). Its description in RNAcentral is "lncRNA (ENSPTEG00000039102.1)". Lineage: Eukaryota; Metazoa; Chordata; Mammalia; Primates; Cercopithecidae. The record is from RNAcentral.
CGAGAUCUCGCCACUGCACUCCAGCCUAGUGACAGCGUGAGACUCCGUCUAAUAAAAAAAAGAAAAUGAAAGCAUACUGGAGAAUGGAGAACAUUCAGAGCCACUUAAAGCUCAAGAGAGUCUGCUUCAGGAGCUCAAACAAAAAGAUGCAUGAUUAACAACAGGUUCAACUUAUCUCAUGGCCCAGCUUUCCCCUGAAGACUCUGCAAUACGGAGGUUAUGGACCUGAUCCGAGGAAGUUGGGAAGUCCACAUGAAACCGAUAUCUAUGGAAGAAGGAGAGAAAAACUGCCAUGGUGACUCCAUGUUAAUUGAAAGUGGUUUUAAACCAAUCAAAGAUGAAGAAACAGUGACCUCGGAAGAUGGAAGGACUUGUCUAAGGCUCCACAAUUAGGAAGUCUCUAGACAUAACUCUCUUGGUUCUCCUGUUCCUUCUCUAUUUCCUCCAGAAGCUGCUCUGUAUUUGACAAGAAGUAGAUAUUAGUCAAGAUUCAUUUAUUUUACUUUUGCUUUCUUUUUUGUCUUUUUUUGGUGGGGGGAUACCAUCUACUUCCUGGCUUAUAUGAUCAACUUUAUAUGAAUAGGAAAGACCAUGGACUUAGUUGUCAGUCCUGGAUUUGAAUAUUUGAUCAUUCACGUUGUAUAACUUACAAAUAUGUCACACUGAUUUUAGACAAGUUAAUGGUCAUUUAUUUAUUGUAUUAUUUUUAUUUGUUUCAAGAUGGAGUUUCGCUCCUCUUGCCUAGGCUAGAUUGCAAUGGUGAGAUCUCGGCUCACUGCAGCCUCUGUUUCCUGGGUUCAAGUGAUUCUCCCACCUCAGCCUCCUGAGUACUUGGGAUUACAGAUGCGCACCACUACGCCCAGCUAAUUCUGUGUUUUCAGUAGAGAUUGGGUUUCACCAUGUUGGCCAAGCUGAUCUCGAAUUCCUGAUGUCAGGCCAAUUGCCCGCCUUGGCCUCCCUAAGUGCUGGGAUUACAGGUGUGAGCCACUGCGCCUGGCCAGUUAAUGGUCAUUUAAAUGAUCUGUGAACCCAAAUGGCUUCAGGGAUGAAGGAGUUAAGGUUGUAACUUAUGAUAAUAUUGAACAUUAAAAAUCAAUGACCAAAGCUUCCAACUCAAGAAACUAAAAAUAGAAUAGCAAAUCAAAUCAAGGUAAUGUACAAAAAGGGAAAUAAUAUUGAUAGGAAUAAAAAAAUCAAUGAAAUAUAAAUUAAAUUUAUA